RNAcentral lists this non-coding RNA (28 nucleotides) under Rattus norvegicus (Norway rat). Lineage: Eukaryota; Metazoa; Chordata; Mammalia; Rodentia; Muridae. The record is from RNAcentral.
UGGGAGUGAUGAAUUCAAAGGACGACAC